GUUGGGUGUGGUGGUGCACACCUAUAAACCCAUCAGCUCAGGAAGCUGAGACAGGAGGAUGGUGAGUUUAAAGCCAGCCUCAGCAACUUAGUGAGACCCUGUCUCUA
This 107-nucleotide small RNA is filed under the name Marmota monax (woodchuck). The record is from RNAcentral. Lineage: Eukaryota; Metazoa; Chordata; Mammalia; Rodentia; Sciuridae.